Bombyx mori (domestic silkworm) is the source of this 630-nucleotide long non-coding RNA. RefSeq lists it as uncharacterized. The record is from RefSeq and is a predicted model, not a curated record. The transcript has 2 exons. NCBI's taxonomy places the organism in Eukaryota, Metazoa, Arthropoda, Insecta, Lepidoptera, Bombycidae.
GUUGUCAUUCGCCAUCUGAAGUUCACCAAUAAAAUUCUUUUUAAUAUCGUUGCACCACGUAAUUGCUCUAUGCUAGGUUUUGCAGAGAUACCUAUAUUUUGCUGUGUAAUGAACUUCUUAUAGCAUUUACCGGAACAGUCGAUAAACUGGACUUUAGUCUUUUUUAGGUAAAGCUUUAACAGGUUUCGCAAGCUAUGAACAUUAAUCGCACCAUCCUACUUAUAUCUACCAUUAAGCAGUGGUACGUUUCAAAAUAAAAAGAGGGAAUAAUUUGAGAAGUCCAGUUAAAACUUUAAAAAAAGAAGAUAUAACGUUAAAAAUAUCAGUACUUAAUACCGAAAAAUCCAAUAAAUUCAAAUUCAUUUUUUAUAUAAUCAAGUAUUCCCAUCUCUUUCAUCGUACAACCCUAACAUCGAGCCCAUUUCUCUCCCUACUCCCCUCUCCCUGGUACUCGACAUUAUGUUUGUGCAUUGUUCAUUGAAUUUGUAUUUUUUGCUCUAACGAGGCCGGAGAGGGUUCCUUUGAAGUUAACAAAUGAUACGUUAAUAGAAUGCAGAGCAUUAUUAACUACAAAAAAGGCUUUAAAAUCCUUUUCUAUGUAAUGACCAAAUAAAAACCUACCUUCUACAA